GUUGGUUUUACCCGAAGACGGUGCGCUAACCGCAAGGAGGCAGCUGACCACGGUGGGAUCAGCGACUGGGGUGAAGUCGUAACAAGGUAGCCGUAGGUGAACCUGCAGAAGGAUCA
RNAcentral lists this ribosomal RNA (116 nucleotides) under uncultured eukaryote. RNAcentral's name for it is "partial small subunit ribosomal RNA". It matches the Rfam family "Bacterial small subunit ribosomal RNA", at positions 1410 to 1525 of the family's 1533-position model. The record is from RNAcentral.